UCAGCCCCUCCAAAUGAAAACGCCCCAUUCCCACUCUCCCACCCUCACCACCCUCACCCCGCCCCACCCUCACCCCGCCCCACCCUUGGCUCUCGAGGCUCCACCCUUCCUGGCGGGGCUGAUUUCUCAUCCUCUGCAGCCCAGCUCUGGGCAGAGCCCGUUCCAGGAGCUCUGCGCAUGUGUACUUAGGCGUUGACCGCACAUGUUUAAACGACGGUUGGGAGUGUAGGAAUUCUGGCCCCUGAGGCCCUGAAAUCGGCAUUUCAGUUUACUGUCAGCCACCUCUCAGUGGGGUCAGCACUGUGUCCCUGAGCCAGCAGGGUGAGAAAACCGCCACCGAUUCCCAUCUCAGAGGCAGCCACUCGAGACCCAAGUUUCUGUCCAAGGACAAGGACACUCAGAAACACUUCAGAGAAAAUGAAGGCAAGACCGGGCAGCCAGCCUACCUGGCACACUGAGCUUCUACAUCAGAAGAAUGGCACGCCAUACUCCUGAGUAUAUCCAAAAGUGAGAACACUGAAUUCUGAAGUAGUGUGUUUGAACUCUUCUCUGGCUUCCUGAUGUACUUUCCUGGUGCCCACAAGCAAAUCUUCAAAAUUAUGCAAGAAGUCCUGGACUAUACUGGCCAGAGUGUGGAGAAGCACAGGGCAACCUUGGACCCCAGCAAUCCAAGAGACUUCAUUGAUAUCUACCUUCUACGCAUGGAGAAGGGAAGUCCUGCGUGAAUGAGAGAAGUGAUGGGUGAGAGUGAAGGCUGAGGAUGUGAGCAGAGGAAAGGGGGGCAGAGGAUGGAGGAGAGAUAGGAAAUGGAGGAGAAGAGAUGCAGAAGAAUCUAGACAUUGAAGACUAGAGAAAGGGAGGAGAAAAUGAAAUAGGGAGGAAGACGGCUAUGAAAGAAACACAGGGCAAGGGACUUUUGCAGAAAAGACCUCAGCAGAACAAAGAGCCUGGGAGACAAAACAUGAUAAAUACCAGGGAGCAAAGUUGAGAGAGAAGACAAAGCAAACAGAGAGCCAGUGACAUUAUUGAGGAAUGAGCCUGCCAAUGUGGUCCAUACAGUGUGAGACAGAAGGACAGUUCCCAGGAUGAUGAGCAUCUUCCUGUAAGGACCCAGUCAUCCCUGACCCUCCCUUCUCUCUCCCAUUUGGAACCAGGAGAAGUCCAACCAACACACAGAGUUCCAUCACCAGAACCUCAUGUUCUCCGUACUGUCCCUCUUCUUUGCUGGCACUGAGACCAGCAGCACCACACUCCGCUAUGGCUUCCUGCUCAUGCUCAAAUAUCCCCAUAUUACAGGCCUCAUGCUGUGUACAUUGUGGAAAUGGAUGUCGCAGUUCCUCAGGUAGGUAGGAAUCAAUCUACCUCAAGAUGCAUCUAUACCAUUCUUGGGUAUGUACCCAAAGGACACUUCAUCCUUCCACAGAGAGACUUGCACAACCAUGUUCAUUGCUGCUCUAUUCAUAAUAGCCAGGAAUUGAACAUUUCCAAAAAUGGAAACCUAAUACAGUAAAAUGUUCCUAAAAUAUAUUCAUCUAUGAAGGCAAUCUAAUUGAAAUUGUCAAAUAAUGAGGGAGACAGAGUUCCAAAUGAAACUUCCAAUAUUGUGAUUGGGUUACAUCUAAUUGAGUUGUUGGCCAAAGAGGUCCCUUGGGAGCUCCCAAAUAACCCAGGUUGUUGCCAAGACAAUAGGUUCUUCUCCACAAACUGGCAGCAAGGCCCCAUUGCUGAAACAAUUCCUACACAACUCACUGAACAUGGAGAGUUUGAGCUGGUGUCUACAUAGAGCCUUCACCCUACAUUCUAGCAUCUUUGGCACUAGUAUGUCUACAAGAUAUACCAGUGUAGAGGUUCUCAAACUUCCCAAUGCUGUGACCCUUUAAUAUAGUUCCUCAUGCUAUGGUGACCCCUGACCAUAAAAUUAUAACAUUGCUACUUCAUAACUGUAAUUUGGUUACUGUUACAGAUAGUAAUGUAAAUGUCUGCUAUGCAAGCUAUCUGAUAUGCAGAUAUGCAGCCCCCAAAGGGGUCAAGAUCCACAGGCUGAGAACUGCUGUGCUGAGGCAAUGAUGACACAAACCUAUGGGAAUAACCAACUGAUGUCUGAUUUGACCUAAGGCCCGUUCCAUGAGAUGGGACCCGUACCUGACACUGUUUGGGUGACCAAGAACUACAAAGCCAAGAGACUUAGAGUAAACCCAAAUAUUGCUAUUUUAACAAACAAAACAAACUAAGACAGAAUACAUAGCAAUAAAGUGAUUCCUAAUGACAUUAGACAUAGAUCAUUGCUUUACUCAGGCAUCAUGAGAAAAAUUUCUCCUAGAGCAGAUGGGAACAAAUGCAGAGACCCACAGCCAGACAUUAUACAGAGAGCGAGAAACCUUGGAAUACUUGGCCCUAAAACUGAUGUGUCCAUCAAAACCUUCCCCCCAGGACUCAGGAAAAAUUGUAAGAGAGAAGGCAGAAAGUAUAAGAGCCAGAGGGAUUGGAGGUCACCAAAAGACCAAUGUCCUCUAACUUAACAUGAUCAAAGCACAUAUGAACUAACAGACUGCAGCAGCAUGCACAGGGUUCUUCAUGGCUCUGUAUCAGGUCCUCUGUGUAUAUUUUAUGGUUUCCAGUUUAGUGUUUUGGAUCUCUGCUUCUUGUGCUUUCCCUUAGGCUCUUUUUCUUCUGUUUGUUUUGUCCAAUUCAAAUGUCUUAGUUUUUGUUUUGUCUUAUUAUAUUAUUUAUCAUCCCUUAUUAGCCUGUUUGUGUUCUAACGAGAGACAGAAAGGGGGUGAAUGUUGGUGGGAUGGUAGGUGGGGAGAAAAUGGGAAGAGCAGAUGGAGGGAAAAUAGUAAUCAGGAUAUAUUAUGUGAGAAAAAAAAUCUAUUUUCAAUAAAAGGAAACAAAAAGGAAGUAAAAAUGAAGCUGAGCAUAAACUGACCCAGACAAAAAGCAAAUACAGGGGAGGUAGAAAGCAGAGGUCCAUGUUUCUACUCAGUAAAGGAAGUGAUCUUUUAGAUUAAGUUAGGACAAAAGUUCUCCGUAUACAAUUCUGGCAGGAGAACCUCUCUCCCUUACAGUAGUUAACACAGUAGAGGCAGUGAACCUGAGAGGCACCAAACAGGGCAAUAGAAAGAUAAAAAUGGAAGGACAAAUCCUUCCUCAGCAGGAGGGAACAGGCUUAUGUAUGUCACUGAACAUAUCACAGAAGGAAACACCUCAACUGUGCUAAUGACAGUCUGUGCCUCAUAGAAAUGGAACGACUGUGAGCACAGGCGAGAAUUUUCUGCAGGACAUAAAGACAGCUUUAGCAGAUUAUCCAGGGAGAACAAUGGAGGAAGAGGACUACACAGUGUGUCUGCCGAACUCAGCAACAGACCGGGAAAAUUCCUGACUCACAGAACAAACAUAGGAGCUUUAUUCAGUUGAUUUAGAGGGCCUUGUUCUCCUGGUGUCCUCCAUCCCCUGUGGCUCUUACACUCUGCCUCCUUCAGAGUUCCCUGAGCAAUGAGGGGAGAGAAUUGAUGGAGACAUCCCACUUAGAAAUGAGUCCCCUCCCUCCCUCCCUCCCUCCCUC
Non-coding RNA from Peromyscus maniculatus bairdii (prairie deer mouse), 3562 nucleotides. The record is from RefSeq and is a predicted model, not a curated record. NCBI's taxonomy places the organism in Eukaryota, Metazoa, Chordata, Mammalia, Rodentia, Cricetidae.